AGCUCAAAUUUAAAAUCUGGCAGUCUUUUUGGCUGUCCGAGUUGUAAUUUGUAGAGGAUGUUUUGGGUACCGCGCUGGUUUAAAUUUCUUGGAACAGAAUGUCAGAGAGGGUGAGAAUCCCGUCUUGGACCGGCGUAGGGCCCGUGUAAAACUCCUUCGAC
RNAcentral lists this ribosomal RNA (161 nucleotides) under Herpotrichiellaceae sp. RNAcentral describes it as "partial large subunit ribosomal RNA". It matches the Rfam family "Eukaryotic large subunit ribosomal RNA", at positions 106 to 261 of the family's 3401-position model. The record is from RNAcentral. Lineage: Eukaryota; Fungi; Ascomycota; Eurotiomycetes; Chaetothyriales; Herpotrichiellaceae.